This 254-nucleotide ribosomal RNA is filed under the name uncultured bacterium. RNAcentral describes it as "partial 16S ribosomal RNA". It matches the Rfam family "Bacterial small subunit ribosomal RNA", at positions 524 to 776 of the family's 1533-position model. The record is from RNAcentral.
UACAGAGGUCUCAAGCGUUGUUCGGAUUCAUUGGGCGUAAAGGGUGCGUAGGUGGCGCGGUAAGUCGGGUGUGAAAUCUCGGAGCUUAACUCCGAAAUUGGCAUUCGAUACUGCCGUGCUUGAGGACUGGAGGGGACAUCGGAAUUCACGGUGGAGCAGUGAAAUGCGUGGAUAUCGUGAGGAACACUAGUGGCGAAGGCGGAUGUCUGGACAGUAUCUGACGCUGAGGCACGAAGGCCAGGGGAGCGAACGGG